Molecule: unclassified non-coding RNA, 289 nt
Filed under: uncultured fungus
Lineage: Eukaryota; Fungi
Description: partial contains small subunit ribosomal RNA, internal transcribed spacer 1, and 5.8S ribosomal RNA
Rfam family: Eukaryotic small subunit ribosomal RNA (bases 1-73)
Source: RNAcentral
ACAAACUUGGUCAUUUAGAGGAAGUAAAAGUCGUAACAAGGUUUCUGUAGGUGAACCUACAGAAGGAUCAUUAUCGAGGAGGGUCUCUAGGCCCGAUCUCCAACCCUUUUAAUAAAAUACCGUGUUGCUUUGGCAGGCCCGCCUAUAUAGCCGUGGGGGAUCACUGGUCCCUAGCCUGUGCCUGCCAGUAGCCCUCGAAAACCCUCAAAAUGUGUCGUCUAAGGAAUACAAUAAUAAAAAAACUUUCAACAACGGAUCUCUUGGUUCUGGCAUCGAUGAAGAACGCAGC